AUUGAACGCUGGCGGCAUGCUUUACACAUGCAAGUCGAACGGUAACAGGCCUUCGGGUGCUGACGAGUGGCGAACGGGUGAGUAAUGCAUCGGAACGUGCCCAGAGGUGGGGGAUAACGCAGCGAAAGCUGUGCUAAUACCGCAUGUGAUCUGAGGAUGAAAGCGGGGGACCAGGCAGCAAUGUUUGGCCUCGCGCCUUUGGAGCGGCCGAUGUCAGAUUAGGUAGUUGGUGGGGUAAAGGCCUACCAAGCCGACGAUCUGUAGCUGGUCUGAGAGGACGACCGGCCACACUGGGACUGAGACACGGCCCAGACUCCUACGGGAGGCAGCAGUGGGGAAUUUUGGACAAUGGGCGCAGGCCUGAUCCAGCAAUGCCGCGUGCGGGAAGAAGGCCUUCGGGUUGUAAACCGCUUUUGUACGGAACGAAAAGGCUCUGGCUAAUACCUGGGGCUGAUGACGGUACCGUAAGAAUAAGCACCGGCUAACUACGUG
This 492-nucleotide ribosomal RNA is filed under the name uncultured bacterium. Its description in RNAcentral is "partial 16S ribosomal RNA". It matches the Rfam family "Bacterial small subunit ribosomal RNA", at positions 30 to 507 of the family's 1533-position model. The record is from RNAcentral.